RNAcentral lists this ribosomal RNA (465 nucleotides) under Vreelandella stevensii. Its description in RNAcentral is "partial 16S ribosomal RNA". It matches the Rfam family "Bacterial small subunit ribosomal RNA", at positions 338 to 795 of the family's 1533-position model. Lineage: Bacteria; Pseudomonadati; Pseudomonadota; Gammaproteobacteria; Oceanospirillales; Halomonadaceae. The record is from RNAcentral.
CCUACGGGUGGCAGCAGUGGGGAAUAUUGGACAAUGGGCGAAAGCCUGAUCCAGCCAUGCCGCGUGUGUGAAGAAGGCCUUCGGGUUGUAAAGCACUUUCAGUGGGGAAGAAAGCCUUGGGGCUAAUACCCUCGAGGAAGGACAUCACCCACAGAAGAAGCACCGGCUAACUCCGUGCCAGCAGCCGCGGUAAUACGGAGGGUGCGAGCGUUAAUCGGAAUUACUGGGCGUAAAGCGCGCGUAGGCGGUCUGAUAAGCCGGUUGUGAAAGCCCCGGGCUCAACCUGGGAACGGCAUCCGGAACUGUCAGGCUAGAGUGCAGGAGAGGAAGGUAGAAUUCCCGGUGUAGCAGUGAAAUGCGUAGAGAUCGGGAGGAAUACCAGUGGCGAAGGCGGCCUUCUGGACUGUCACUGACGCUGAGGUGCGAAAGCGUGGGUAGCAAACAGGAUUAGAUACCCCAGUAGUC